RNAcentral lists this long non-coding RNA (1266 nucleotides) under Homo sapiens (human). RNAcentral describes it as "long non-coding RNA NONHSAT199041.1". The record is from RNAcentral. Lineage: Eukaryota; Metazoa; Chordata; Mammalia; Primates; Hominidae.
GCUUUGCAGAGUGAUUAUCAGCACAGUUCCCUGCCCUGGAUAAGGAACAGCUACAGUCGCUGUUAAAUGUGCCUGAAAAGCAAUUUGCAAUCUUUGCAUUAGGCAUUUCGGCCGUGGAACCCCAGGCUCGGAGGACUGGGUGUGAGCGCUGCCCGGGAGAGGCUGACCUGCCGGGACCGGAGUGCCCGGGGACGCUGUGCCCCCACUUGCCCAACGUGCGGAAUCGGCUAAGCGCGUCGGCCUGCGCGGGGCACAAGGGACGACGCCCGCCUUUCUCUCUCCGAGAAGGAUCCCCAAACCUCACUCUCUUCACUCCUCCCCGCUAAAAAAAAAAAAAAAAAGAAAAGGGUAAAAAAAUCCCCCUCCCCCUCCCGGCCGCGGCAGCCUCUGCCUGGCAGGCGCGUGCUCCGAGGUUUCGCCGGGGUACUGCGCGGCUCCGUGACCCACCCGCCGACGGCGGUUCGGGCCCCGACCCGGGCGCUGCGGAGUCUCGAACGCCCGUGACGUGGAUUUUUCGCUCGUCAGGAAGCCGCCAUCCCUUCCUUCGUUCCUUGCGAGGAGCGACUAGAACCCGAGUUCUCUGAGCACACCGUGCCGUCAGCUGGCCCGUCACGCACUCGACUCCGCCACUCCCCUACUUGUUUUUCUGAGACUUGGGAAGCCUUCCUGAAAGGAUUUGUAAAAACUGGUUCUUGGAAAGGGGCUGCAGAAGACCUCCCGAGGUGGAUGUUACUGAGCCGCCCGGCGAGCACCAGCCGUGACAGGUCCGGGCCCGGCCGCGCGGAGCCGCGGGAGAACUGCCCUCCGCAGCCGGAAGGGGGCCGCGGGGAGCGCUCCUGGCCGGUGGCGGCGGGGGCGGGGGAGGCCGCGAGCCGAGGCGCUCCAACUCCGGCGAUGCCGCCUCGCCCUCCCCGCCGCGGUUGAUGCGGCACGUGCACGCCGCCGCCCGCACCAGGACCUGGGCCGGGUCGCACGGCUUGGCCCCCGGCCACCGCUUCGGCCUAGGAUUUCAGAUGCAUGCCAGGUUUCCACUGAUUGCCAGAACUCGAGAUCACUACACAUGGAUCCCCAAAAUCAACAUGGCAGUGGCAGUUCGUUAGUUGUGAUCCAGCAGCCUUCUUUGGAUAGCCGUCAGAGAUUAGACUAUGAGAGAGAGAUUCAGCCUACUGCUAUUUUGUCCUUAGACCAGAUCAAGGCCAUAAGAGGCAGCAAUGAAUACACAGAAGGGCCUUCGGUGGUGAAAAGACCUGCUCCUCGGACAGCACC